RNAcentral lists this long non-coding RNA (2536 nucleotides) under Manihot esculenta (cassava). RNAcentral's name for it is "long non-coding RNA (MESC_LNC005066)". Lineage: Eukaryota; Viridiplantae; Streptophyta; Magnoliopsida; Malpighiales; Euphorbiaceae. The record is from RNAcentral.
AAAUAUGAAAAGUUAAAACAUAAAAGUCAAAUUUUACUUUCCAUGUGUCACCUAACUAAGGAAAGGAGAAAUGAAAAGCAAAUUAAAAAAAAGAAAAAGGGAUUUUCUUCUUUCUUCCUCCACCAUUGCCGUAGCUCUCCCAUUGAAAAACCAAAGCUUUGUUUUGUCUUCCUUCCACCAAAGCCAAGCCAAACCUCACCAAAACAACUUCUUCCUUUAACCAAAAUUUACCCUAAGACCAAGAGUUAAAGGAACAGCCAUAUAUUGAAAGGAUUGGAGAAGAAAAGUUGAGGAUUUCAUAUACACCAAGCUUGUAAAUCAAAGGUGAGCUUAUAAUGGGUAGGAAAUGGCAUCUUUUCAUUUAUUCAUGCAUGAAUUUGAAUUAUAAAGCUUUAAUUUAUAGUUUAUUCAAUCCUUCCCUAAGAUAUAAAUUGACCUAGGUGAAGGACCAUCAAAGGGAAAGGAGAUAGCUAGAGAGUAGAAGUGGAAAAAGGAAAGAGGAAUUAAAGAAAGGUUUGGUGUUUCUUUGAUUUUCUGUUUUCCUUGAAUUUUCACAUGGACAUAUGAAGUUGGAGAUUGAUUUUACUUGCUGGAAAUAUUGCUUUGAUUGUAUAAAUAUGUUAUAUGUAUGUUAAAAUGGUGUUUGAAAGGCUUAGAGUAAAGAAACUUAAUAUGAGAGCUUAAAGUGCAAAUCUGGCAGAAUAGGUUUUAACAGGGCAGCUUGUGUUAACAAGUUCAUAACUUAUUGUGUUUUUAUGGAAAUUAGUCCUAAGAUAUACCAAAUGAAAUCUAAGACAAAGAGCUAAAAUUUUCAUGAAUGACUAAAUUCGAAAUCUGUAUGUAAGAUGAUGAAAAUUGCAAUUGAACCUAAACUGGACACAGUGGUAGUGCAUCCGGAACAGAGUCUAUUGAUGAUACCAUAACUAAUUUUGUACUCAGUGAAAUUUGUUAAGACCAGUGCCAAUUGAAUCUUAAGAAAUAUACCUAAAACUUUGUAGAAGACACUUAAGCUUGAAUUUGUAUGGAAAUGCAUGAAUCUGAUAAGUUUUGUGAUACUAUAAACAAGUACCAAUACUGGACUGAUUAAGACCUUAUUGAGCAGCUUGUAAAGAAAAAUUCAUAACUUCAUCUAGGAUGAUCAGAUUUGCAUGAACCAUACCUUGUUGGAAAGAUAAGACAUAAAUUUAUAUUUCUUAUGAAGAAAUUGAAGUCAAAUUGUAACUCUAAACUGCUUGAAAAGUUUAUGCAAUAUAUGGCAGAAUGUAGUUUUCUAUAUUGAAAUGCUAAGUCAAUAAAGUUUUGCACUAUUUGCCAUGAGUUUUCCAUAUUGUAAACCUUGGCAUAUGAUAUAUGUACUUUGGAAAAAGAAAUCAAAUAGCUUCAAAUGACAUGCAUUUACAUUGAUACAUUGAGUUAAUGAUACUUGGCCCUGGUAAAUGCAAUAGGAGUCGAGGUUAGCUUAAGUGUAACGACCCGAAAAUCGGACCGCUACCGGCGCUAGGAUCCGGGUCGACUUAAGGCCGCCGGGACCCGUAGCAAGCCUAACAUACAUCCUCUAUAGCUGGUAUAAUCCCAUACAUGAUCAAACAUAANNNNNNNNNNNNNNNNNNNNNNNNNNNNNNNNNNNNNNNNNNNNNNNNNNNNNNNNNNNNNNNNNNNNNNNNNNNNNNNNNNNNNNNNNNNNNNNNNNNNNNNNNNNNNNNUACUUAAAACAUAAAAUACCUUAAAAACAUUUCAUAAAACAUGGUUUUCCCCUUCUAGAGGUUUCCGACAUCCGAGAUUCCACCGGACGGUAGGAAUUUCCGAUACCGGAGUCUAGCCGGGUAUUACAUUAAGGGUAUGGUAUGCCAUAUAAACAUACAGAGUUCGCAGUACUGCUACCGAUACAUGAUCUAUAUUUGAGGUUACAUAUCUGGUACCUCAUAAGCAUGGCCACAGAGCCCUGCUAUCACAGUUUUGGCCUCUGAGCCUACCGUUCGGCACCUUGUGCCUACCGUUAUAACUCCUUAUUUACCUAGUCGAUCCUACUAUGUGUUUAUAAGGGCUAAGAUCUUAAUUAAGGUUGAUACUUGAUUUUGGUGAACUUAUUAGUGAGUGUUAACAUGUUUGCAUCUAUUAGCUUGUACUUGUUUACCUGAUUAUCUAUAUACGUGAACUUGUUUGUUUUAUUCUGUUAUUUGUUUGUUAUCACCCACUGAGCAUUAGCUCAGCGUGUUGGUUUUUACCUCACGCAGAUUGUAGAUAGAGUAGGCACGUGAAGUUCAUCAGAGGUCUACAUCAGAUAUCAAGGCCAUUAUCAUAGCUGGUUGUUUGAGUCUCUGAGUCAUAGUGCAGUUAUAUUUUGGCAUGUACAUAUUUAAUAGAGUGAGUUGUAAAGGUUAUGUAAUCAAAGAAUAGUAAGAUAUCAAAUGACAGUUGUUAGUGUAUUAUAAGUGUGAGGUUCAUAUGUAUUACAGGUUAAAGUGCUAAUGAAACAGAGGAAACUCUGCCGAAAAAUUUUGGUUUAGAAAUCUCACAUUUAUUUUAAUCACUUGAU